This 510-nucleotide ribosomal RNA is filed under the name Bacillus sp. (in: firmicutes). RNAcentral's name for it is "bacterial SSU rRNA". It matches the Rfam family "Bacterial small subunit ribosomal RNA", at positions 21 to 512 of the family's 1533-position model. The record is from RNAcentral. Lineage: Bacteria; Bacillati; Bacillota; Bacilli; Caryophanales; Bacillaceae.
GGCUCAGGAUGAACGCUGGCGGCGUGCCUAAUACAUGCAAGUCGAGCGAACUGAUUAGAAGCUUGCUUCUAUGACGUUAGCGGCGGACGGGUGAGUAACACGUGGGCAACCUGCCUGUAAGACUGGGAUAACUUCGGGAAACCGAAGCUAAUACCGGAUAGGAUCUUCUCCUUCAUGGGAGAUGAUUGAAAGAUGGUUUCGGCUAUCACUUACAGAUGGGCCCGCGGUGCAUUAGCUAGUUGGUGAGGUAACGGCUCACCAAGGCAACGAUGCAUAGCCGACCUGAGAGGGUGAUCGGCCACACUGGGACUGAGACACGGCCCAGACUCCUACGGGAGGCAGCAGUAGGGAAUCUUCCGCAAUGGACGAAAGUCUGACGGAGCAACGCCGCGUGAGUGAUGAAGGCUUUCGGGUCGUAAAACUCUGUUGUUAGGGAAGAACAAGUACGAGAGUAACUGCUCGUACCUUGACGGUACCUAACCAGAAAGCCACGGCUAACUACGUGCCAGC